CAGGGUAGCAGGGUGAGUUGCAGAAAGGAGCAUGUUGAGCUGUCAGUCAGGUCUAGAAAUAGAAAAGCAUCUGCAAACUGCAUCUCAACACUCACAGCCAGCAAGCAGGAGUCAAGAAUCCCACUUCACUGUUAUUCAGAGGGUAUCCCUGCAACCAGGCACCAACACUUGCUACAGAGACUCGCUGAUACUCAGACGUUGGAAAAGCAAUGCCGGCAAGGCGCCUGGCAGUCCAGACCACUCUCCCUUAUAUUGUGUAGCAGCACUUGGCAACCCUGCCACACCACAGGCAAUAGCAGAGGAUCAACCAGCAUGGGAACAAAGCUUGCUGAGGCCAGCAGUAAGGCCCUCAAGUCAGCCCUCUGCUGAUGAAAACUACAACAAUUAGACAGAUGAAGCUCUCUCUUUUAAAAUUCAGAUGUAUUCAAACACUCAAAACACAUCUGCUUGCUCAGAAUCCAGUAGCUUUGAGUGUGUUGCUGUGGCAUUGGAAACUACAGAUGAAGUAAACCAAGGCUUAAAGACUGUGCCCAAAAGACAAAUCCAACUGAAGAGACGCGACUCAACAGAGGCACAUGCCAGAGAGAGCAGCAAUCAAAGCCUUCAGGUUGCAAACACACCUGUGUGUGCCCGGGACAUAUUUCAGCGUCAACAUAGCACCCCUGCAGCUUUUAACCAGGAGUCCCAUGUGGCUGAUCAAAGGUCAGUACAGGCUGACAGAAAGCAAAGGCUUCAGAAGUAAUUUUCCCUGGAUGAAACCUCCUGCAAAACCCAGAUGGCUUCCUGCAUCAUAACAAAUGUCUUAACAAAAAAAAUGCAACAUGAACAGAAUCUUCACACCUUGGAUGUUUCUGAUAAAGCCUUUACUUCUAUCAAAGUGAGCAACAGGACUACUACCACUGAUGAAUGCAUCUAUUUGUCUGACAAGGAUGUAUUUGCUGAAACUACCAAACUAAACCAAAAUGCUACUCUUAAGAGGGAGGCCCAGAGAGAGUGCAGCCCUGUUCAAAAGCAUUGCAGGGUUAACUUUAAAACGCAGCCCAAGCUGCUGAGCAAACAUGACUUCAAUCCUCUUUUAAGUGCAAUUGUCAGGUCUGAAGUUCAAGGCAGUUGCACUGAAAUAAUGGACCCUUCAGAGAAUGAGAAAGCAGAGAAGUUGAGUCCAAGAGAGAACAUGUUCCGGCUGCCUAACCUGUGCCCUGGUGUGAAGCUAUUCUGUGACUCAGCAAAAAGCAGAGCAUGGAAUUUGAGUGUAGCAACAAAUGUAGCUAUCAGCACACAGGCUUCUAUGAAAACCACACCUGAAGAAUGCCAUACAGGGCAAGGAAUCCAUAGACAACACAAUAUGACCCUUACCAAUGUGCUGGAAAAGCAGGACAGAACAGGCUGGCAUUAUGGAAGGUACACUCAGUCCUACUAAUAUUGCAUGCCUAAUCUCUGAUUUGGAAGCAAAUGUAGUGGAUAAUAUAAUGCCUCAAACUGAUGAGAGCAGUGUUGGAAAGGAGCAAGAGAGUGACAGAGAGAAAGUCAAGACUCCAGGACAGUCUGCAAUCCUAGAUAUGCAAAGCCAAGGCAAAUUGAAAGCCAUGGCCUCUGUGCAUGUAGUAAGAGAUAUGAGAAACCUAGUGAAAAACACAUACAACAUGUCCUUCAAGGGCACAGGGGAAUCAGCCCAUGAAAAAAAUGGGAGUGCUCCUUUGUUUCAGCCAUUAAUGCACAAUCUAUGCAACAACAUGGGUGAAGGAAAGGGAAAGGAUACAGACGAGAUGAAAACCCCCUGGUACAGAAAGUCACGCCACCUCUUUCACUGGACAGAAGGAGAGAUCACUUUGCACUAAGAGGAUGUUUGACUAAGGUAAUGCCUCCAGUGGAAUCAAAUGGCAAAAGUCAUACUGUUAGUGAUGGCCUUCAGACCCCAUGUCUUCCUCCCAGGUCACAGAGUUUAGUGGGGCCUCUAUCUGCUUGCGUCCUCCUAACAGUUGCUUCAACACCAAUGGUUCCCUCAUAUUAUUACAAACCCAAUCCACUGGGUUACUAGACAAUCUCUCCUCAUAUUGGAGCUGUUCAUGGCUAUGUUCAAGGGCCUGUCUUGUUUCAAACACCUCUUUACAACCAGCCUUCUGCAUCAAUCAGUCAUACCCCCCUACUGAGAUCCCUCUCUGAGGAUGAAAAAAUGCUAGUCUAUCCAACAGAUGGCUCAACCAGUCAAGCUCAGAAUGGGGAAGCAGGGUUGAAAAUGACUUCUCCAGAAAGCCAACACAACACAAUCUUUGUUGCUUCCAUGAAUGUAGAGGCCAGGCCUGGGGGUACAGGUGUGCUGUAUCCAGAAACAGGAGGAAGUGUAGCAGCAGGACAAAACCCCUGCCAACUGUUACUAGACCCGGAAACUGGCUGCUAUUUCUAUGUAGUCAUGCCUCAAUUGCCACAGUGCAAGAUGCUGUUUGACCCAGAAACUUGCCAGUAUGUUGAGGUCCUACUGCCACAGCAGAUGCUUCCCAGUGCUGUUUUGCCCACACCGUGCCCACACAUACCGUUUGCCUCUGUUCACAUCCCACCCAUGUACACCCCAAAAUGCUUACCUUACAUACAGUCUCAUCCUCAGGUGCUCCCACCAUCAGUACCAUGAAUCCCGAUGAGACUUAUAGACUGUAGAAGACAGUAAAAGAGUCAUGCCCAAGGAUCAGAUUACCCAGUGCCUAUUAAUUGCUGGAAAUUAGCUGUGUAUAAGUUUCUGGAUGAGUGAAACAUGUUAACCAUCUGCUGCCCUUGCCUUAAGGCAUCAAAGCUGAAAGUGUAUUCAGUUAGUACUGCAUUCAACAUUCCUUUCUUCGUAAAGGCUACCUCUGGACUUGGCAAUAGACAUGGGUGAGACUGUUGAAAUGUUGUAAGAUGCAUAUGCAUUCACACAUUCAGGCUACAUAAACAGAGCAGGGGCUCUAAAGGGAGAGGGGCUCAGAUAAUCUCUGGAAUGGGCAGUUGAGACUCACCAAGAGACCAGAGUGUCUUGAGUUUGUUUAGCAAGUAUGACAAAGGUCAAGAUUGUGUUACUGUAAAUUGUGUGUGUGUGUGUGUGUAUAUAUAUAUAUAUAUAUAUAUAUAUAUACAUA
Molecule: long non-coding RNA, 3107 nt
Organism: Cyprinus carpio carpio
Lineage: Eukaryota; Metazoa; Chordata; Actinopteri; Cypriniformes; Cyprinidae
Source: Ensembl